This 2253-nucleotide long non-coding RNA is filed under the name Populus trichocarpa (black cottonwood). RNAcentral's name for it is "long non-coding RNA (PTRI_LNC003040)". Lineage: Eukaryota; Viridiplantae; Streptophyta; Magnoliopsida; Malpighiales; Salicaceae. The record is from RNAcentral.
GUUUGGUCAUUAAAAAACCAAAAAAAAUGAAUGUGGUCACAAAAUCUCUCUCUCACACGACUACAAAAUUACGUUCUGUUUCCCUAUAUUGAUCAUAUUUGGUUGUGCUUCGGAUUUUUUGGGUAAUUCCUAAACAAAUUUUUCAAAUUUUCAUUCUCUUUCCACAAAUUUGUGCUCCUGGCUUGCUUUGUGGGAUGGAGAAAUGUUGUGUGAUCGAGAGCAAUUAUGCAUGUUGCUGUACUACUAGCUGGAGCAGGUGAGAGAUUUCAUGCUUCUAGGUGAGUACUCCGCACUGAAUUAUUUAUAUGAUUGCUCUAUUGACUUGUGCUUGAUAUAUUGUUCUCCAUUUUUAUGCUUUGACAAUAGAAAUUGAGUUAUCUUCUUUCUCAAAUGUCAAUUGAUCAUAUAAUAUCAGCGUUCGUGCUGAUUUCUAAGAUCAACAAGCUAUCAUAUAGAGUUUAUAGUAUGUGCCAUCAUUUCACUCUCACCAUUUGAUAUAUCCAUCUUCAAGGGGGUGUUCAUUGGUCUUGGGCGUGGAAGCAUCGAUCAUAGACAUGUUUUCUAUGUUGUAUUCCCUCUUGUUCAUGUCAUUGUGCAACAUAAACCUAUGUAUUGAGUGAUUUUCUAUAUUAGAAACCUAAUUAACUAGAAAUCUUGAUUGAUUGGUUCCUCUUGCAAUCAACUGAUCCGUUGUCGCAUGUAAUUCGAGAGGAGAAAGGUUGAAAGAGGACGGUAUAUACUAGCUGGUUAGUGGCCUUAAUUAAUCGGAUUACAUAUAGAGUUAUGGAGUUAAAUUAAAUACACUAGCAAAACGUGCAGCAACCUCAACAGAGAGGGUGCAUCCAUGAGUCAAACGUGGUGCUACCAUGCAUACCCCCACCUACCUACAUGUAUCAACCUCGCUCACAUGCAUAACUUUUACCUGCCUUUCAUAGUGGGUUAAACAGGACAACAUUCAGCUCCUAACCAUAUUUUGUAUCUUUCUACUUUUUGCUUCUCUCAAAGUACAGAAAGCUACACCGUAUCCUUGUCCAUGAAGCUCAGAUUGAGAAAUCCUAUUUUUUUUAUUUGUAAUUAAGGUUUAUAACGUGUUUUCUUUUUCUAUUGAGAAAAUUUAAGGUGUUGAAAAGAUAAUUAAGUGUUGUAUAACAUUAAUUUAAUUCCCCCAACGUUAAUUUUAUUUUUUUAACCUUAGAUCUAACUUGUGACAAGUAUUUGCCAUUUUGAUAUUUUCAGUAGAGAACAUACAACUUAACGAAAUAUUGUAUUAAUGUAAUAAUUAUAUUCUAAAUUUUAGUGUUAGUUUCAAGUUUUAACAAGGUAAUUAAACACAUUAUAUGCUCCACCGCAUCAAACAUCCUUGAUCAAGCACAGCAACAUUACUCUGGGAGCUCAUACCAAGAUCAUCAUACGCUCAUAUAAUUAAGAUCAUAAUUAUAAUUAUGGAUCAUCGUGAUCAUAAUUAAGAUCCCACAACUGAAGUUCAAUAACAUAAUUACAUAAGCUCAUAUAACAUUUUUACUGUUUAAUUUAUGAUCGUCUGGGCUUGACUUGACCUACUUGUAUUAUGUCUACACGUACUAUGUACAAACUUCAAGGACCUCGAUUUUGUGGAAGUAUUUCUUUCAUAUACGUAACAAUAACAAUAUUUAACCUCUGCACACAUCAUGGCCCAUAUUCAUGCAUGGAGUAUUUCUUCACAUGCAUAACAGUAGUAGAGAUCUACUUCUACUACAUAUCCUAUUCAUCAUAUCAGGUGCAAGCACAUCAUCUCCUCUUCGUGUAUACAUAGCUAGGUACUAUCUUAAUUAGGUUUAAUUGCUGAAGUUAAUUAUCAAUGUUUGGAUCAAGUCUAAGCUUACAUAAAAAAAAAAUUAAAGGGAUUAAUUAAGAGGGUGUUUGCUAGAGAUAGAACACUUUAAUCUUAAAACAACAAGGUCCUUGGUUGUCUAUGAGAUAGGAUCUAAAGGAACAAAAAAAACCAAUCAAUAGUUCUUACAGUAUAGUGAUACUGAUACAUAUACAUCAACUUAAACGUACAGGCAUUCCAUGUAAGUACAACACUCACAAGAACAACAUAUAUAACACAAAUUAGCACGUAUUUAUAGUCGUAACAAACCAGUCUGAUUUUCUAUAUAUAGAAAUCUUCUGCUGCAGGAUCAAGCUAGAUCAUCACUAUUUAACGCACCAUCUUUCUCACCGAAAGCUGCCAUUGAAGAUGUGACUUCAGCUUCCCAAAUACUGCCAUGAUGG